RNAcentral lists this ribosomal RNA (357 nucleotides) under Escherichia coli. RNAcentral describes it as "bacterial SSU rRNA". It matches the Rfam family "Bacterial small subunit ribosomal RNA", at positions 105 to 465 of the family's 1533-position model. The record is from RNAcentral. Lineage: Bacteria; Pseudomonadati; Pseudomonadota; Gammaproteobacteria; Enterobacterales; Enterobacteriaceae.
GGUGAGUAAUGUCUGGGAAACUGCCUGAUGGAGGGGGAUAACUACUGGAAACGGUAGCUAAUACCGCAUAACGUCGCAAGACCAAAGAGGGGGACCUUCGGGCCUCUUGCCAUCGGAUGUGCCCAGAUGGGAUUAGCUAGUAGGUGGGGUAACGGCUCACCUAGGCGACGAUCCCUAGCUGGUCUGAGAGGAUGACCAGCCACACUGGAACUGAGACACGGUCCAGACUCCUACGGGAGGCAGCAGUGGGGAAUAUUGCACAAUGGGCGCAAGCCUGAUGCAGCCAUGCCGCGUGUAUGAAGAAGGCCUUCGGGUUGUAAAGUACUUUCAGCGGGGAGGAAGGGAGUAAAGUUAAUA